This 826-nucleotide ribosomal RNA is filed under the name uncultured bacterium. RNAcentral's name for it is "bacterial SSU rRNA". It matches the Rfam family "Bacterial small subunit ribosomal RNA", at positions 28 to 874 of the family's 1533-position model. The record is from RNAcentral.
GACGAACGCUGGCGGCGUGCCUAACACAUGCAAGUCGAGCGAUGAAACCCUUCGGGGUGGAUUAGCGGCGGACGGGUGAGUAACACGUGGGUAACCUACCUCAAAGAGGGGGAUAGCCUCCCGAAAGGGAGAUUAAUACCGCAUAACAUUAGUUUUUCGCAUGAAGAACUAAUUAAAGGAGUAAUCCGCUUUGAGAUGGACCCGCGGCGCAUUAGCUAGUUGGUGAGGUAAAGGCUCACCAAGGCGACGAUGCGUAGCCGACCUGAGAGGGUGAUCGGCCACAUUGGAACUGAGAUACGGUCCAGACUCCUACGGGAGGCAGCAGUGGGGAAUAUUGCACAAUGGGCGAAAGCCUGAUGCAGCAACGCCGCGUGAGUGAUGAAGGCCUUCGGGUUGUAAAGCUCUGUCUUUGGGGACGAUAAUGACGGUACCCAAGGAGGAAGCCACGGCUAACUACGUGCCAGCAGCCGCGGUAAUACGUAGGUGGCAAGCGUUGUCCGGAUUUACUGGGCGUAAAGGAUGCGUAGGCGGAUAUUUAAGUCAGAUGUGAAAACCCCGAGCUUAACUUGGGGACUGCAUUUGAAACUGGAUAUCUAGAGUGUGGGAGAGGAGAAUGGAAUUCCUAGUGUAGCGGUGAAAUGCGUAGAGAUUAGGAAGAACACCAGUGGCGAAGGCGAUUCUCUGGACCAUAACUGACGCUGAGGCAUGAAAGCGUGGGUAGCAAACAGGAUUAGAUACCCUGGUAGUCCACGCCGUAAACGAUGAGUACUAGGUGUAGGAGGGUCCAACCUUCUGUGCCGCAGUUAACACAAUAAGUACUCCGCCU